CGCUGGCGGCAUGCCUUACACAUGCAAGUCGAACGGUAACGCGGGGCAACCUGGCGACGAGUGGCGAACGGGUGAGUAAUGCAUCGGAACGUGCCCAGUAGUGGGGGAUAGCCCGGCGAAAGCCGGAUUAAUACCGCAUACGACCUACGGGUGAAAGGGGGGGAUCGCAAGACCUCUCGCUAUUGGAGCGGCCGAUGUCAGAUUAGCUAGUUGGUGGGGUAAAAGCCUACCAAGGCGACGAUCUGUAGCUGGUCUGAGAGGACGACCAGCCACACUGGGACUGAGACACGGCCCAGACUCCUACGGGAGGCAGCAGUGGGGAAUCUUGGACAAUGGGCGAAAGCCUGAUCCAGCCAUGCCGCGUGCGGGAAGAAGGCCUUCGGGUUGUAAACCGCUUUUGUCAGGGAAGAAAUCCUUUGGGCUAAUACCCCUGGGGGAUGACGGUACCUGAAGAAUAAGCACCGGCU
Molecule: ribosomal RNA, 467 nt
Filed under: uncultured bacterium
Lineage: Bacteria
Description: bacterial SSU rRNA
Rfam family: Bacterial small subunit ribosomal RNA
Source: RNAcentral